RNAcentral lists this long non-coding RNA (243 nucleotides) under Arabidopsis lyrata. RNAcentral's name for it is "long non-coding RNA (ALYR_LNC003401)". The record is from RNAcentral. Lineage: Eukaryota; Viridiplantae; Streptophyta; Magnoliopsida; Brassicales; Brassicaceae.
UAUGAUUUUUAUACAAAUUACGAACAUAAGUAGGACGUUUUGAAUUUUAGAUGAAAAAAAAAGUAAAAAAAAAAAAAAAAAAAAAAAAAAAAAAAAAAAAAAAAAUUGGGCUAGGCGCCGUCUAGGCGGGCUAGGCGGCCGCCUAGGCGGUCCAGGCGGGCAAAAAAUCGGAUCUCCGAUUUUUCUCACCGAUUUGGACAAAAUCGCCGCGGUGCUCCUCCGAUCAGCGCCUAGGCGGCCGCC